AGUGAACGCUGGCGGUAGGCCUAACACAUGCAAGUCGAACGGCAGCACAGUAAUAGCUUGUUCUUACGGGUGGCGAGUGGCGGACAGGGGCGAAAUACCUCGGAAUCUACUUUUUCUUGGGGGAGAACGUAGGGAAACUUACGCUAAUACCGCAUACGACCUACGGGUGAAAGCUGGGGACCUUCGGACCUUGCGCGAUUCAAUGAGCCGAUGUCGGAUUAGCUAGUUGGCGGGGUAAAGGCCCACCAAGGCGACGAUCCGUAGCUGGUCUGAGAGGAUGAUCAGCCACACUGGAACUGAGACACGGUCCAGACUCCUACGGGAGGCAGCAGUGGGGAAUAUUGGACAAUGGGCGCAAGCCUGAUCCAGCCAUACCGCGUGGGUGAAGAAGGCCUUCGGGUUGUAGAGCCCUUUUGUUGGGAAAGAAAAGCAGCAGGUUAAUACCCCGCUGUUCUGACGGUACCCAAAGAAUAAGCACCGGCUAACUUCGUG
This 492-nucleotide ribosomal RNA is filed under the name uncultured bacterium. RNAcentral's name for it is "partial 16S ribosomal RNA". It matches the Rfam family "Bacterial small subunit ribosomal RNA", at positions 29 to 507 of the family's 1533-position model. The record is from RNAcentral.